Molecule: ribosomal RNA, 506 nt
Filed under: uncultured bacterium
Lineage: Bacteria
Description: partial 16S ribosomal RNA
Rfam family: Bacterial small subunit ribosomal RNA
Source: RNAcentral
AUUGAACGCUGGCGGCAGGCCUAACACAUGCAAGUCGAACGGUAACAGGAAGCAGCUUGCUGCUUCGCUGACGAGUGGCGGACGGGUGAGUAAUGUCUGGGAAACUGCCUGAUGGAGGGGGAUAACUACUGGAAACGGUAGCUAAUACCGCAUAACGUUGCAAGACCAAAGAGGGGGACCUUCGGGCCCCUUGCCAUCGGAUGUGCCCAGAUGGGAUUAGCUUGUUGGUGGGGUAACGGCUCACCAAGGCGACGAUCCCUAGCUGGUCUGAGAGGAUGACCAGCCACACUGGAACUGAGACACGGUCCAGACUCCUACGGGAGGCAGCAGUGGGGAAUAUUGCACAAUGGGCGCAAGCCUGAUGCAGCCAUGCCGCGUGUAUGAAGAAGGCCUUCGGGUUGUAAAGUACUUUCAGCGGGGAGGAAGGGAGUAAAGUUAAUACCUUUACUCAUUGACGUUACCCGCAGAAGAAGCACCGGCUAACUCCGUGACAGCAGCCGCCGUAA